AGUGAACGCUGGCGGUAGGCCUAACACAUGCAAGUCGAACGGCAGCACAGUAAGAGCUUGCUCUUACGGGUGGCGAGUGGCGGACGGGUGAGGAAUACAUCGGAGUCUACUUUUUCGUGGGGGAUAACGUAGGGAAACUUACGCUAAUACCGCAUACGACCUACGGGUGAAAGCAGGGGAUCUUCGGACCUUGCGCGAUUGAAUGAGCCGAUGUCGGAUUAGCUAGUUGGCGGGGUAAAGGCCCACCAAGGCGACGAUCCGUAGCUGGUCUGAGAGGAUGAUCAGCCACACUGGAACUGAGACACGGUCCAGACUCCUACGGGAGGCGGCAGUGGGGAAUAUUGGACAAUGGGCGCAAGCCUGAUCCAGCCAUACCGCGUGGGUGAAGAAGGCCUUCGGGUUGUAAAGCCCUUUUGUUGGGAAAGAAAAGCAGCAGGUUAAUACCCCGCUGUUCUGACGGUACCCAAAGAAUAAGCACCGGCUAACUUCGUG
Molecule: ribosomal RNA, 492 nt
Filed under: uncultured bacterium
Lineage: Bacteria
Description: partial 16S ribosomal RNA
Rfam family: Bacterial small subunit ribosomal RNA
Source: RNAcentral